GACGAACGCUGGCGGCGUGCUUAACACAUGCAAGUCGAACGGAAAGGCCCUGCUUUUGUGGGGUGCUCGAGUGGCGAACGGGUGAGUAACACGUGAGUAACCUGCCCUUGACUUUGGGAUAACUUCAGGAAACUGGGGCUAAUACCGGAUAGGAGCUCCUGCUGCAUGGUGGGGGUUGGAAAGUUUCGGCGGUUGGGGAUGGACUCGCGGCUUAUCAGCUUGUUGGUGGGGUAGUGGCUUACCAAGGCUUUGACGGGUAGCCGGCCUGAGAGGGUGACCGGCCACAUUGGGACUGAGAUACGGCCCAGACUCCUACGGGAGGCAGCAGUGGGGAAUAUUGCACAAUGGGCGGAAGCCUGAUGCAGCAACGCCGCGUGCGGUAUGACGGCCUUCGGGUUGUAAUCCGCUUUCGCCUGUGACGAAGCGUGAGUGACGGUAAUGGGUAAAGAAGCACCGGCUAACUACGUG
This 468-nucleotide ribosomal RNA is filed under the name uncultured bacterium. Its description in RNAcentral is "partial 16S ribosomal RNA". It matches the Rfam family "Bacterial small subunit ribosomal RNA", at positions 28 to 507 of the family's 1533-position model. The record is from RNAcentral.